UCUGCCGUGAUCGCGUCAUGUGCGAUCUUUAGUGUACUCCUAACACGGCGAGUAUACGUGUUCCAGGCAGAGUCCAAGCCUAAUUGCAUGGAGUAUUCGAGCAGUUUAACCCACAAGUACUCUUUGUUUUAAAUAACACCACAAACAGCACAAGACAACUUGAUAAAAUAUGCGUGCCUUGUUCCUUACCACAAUUUACCCAUUGUUAAGGUUUGUUUGUGGUUUGGUGUCUAGGCACAACGUCCUUCUGUUCUCUAAAAUGGCUUGGAGAGCCUCAUUUGACAACUUCACGUCCCUUUGAGCAUGUGAUGCCUUGGCCUUGCCACUGAGAACAGUUUCUGUUCCUGGUGCUUAAUAAUGGCUUAUAUAGAAAGAAACAUAAGCCAUAUCUAAACUCAACAGGAACUCUCUCUGAGUGGAGGAAUAUAAAUUUUAAUAAAUGCCUGUGGUUAUCUCCAUAUUAAAGUGGAAAAAAAAGUCUAGGAAAGCAGCUAGCUUUAGUGUGGAACUUCAGUUGAAUAGUUAAAAAGUUCACCUGCAAAUUAUUAACUUAGACAUUUUCUCCAAAUUAUGAACCAUUUUCUCCUCUAGCUGUUCCUCAUCUCUAGGCAUUCUGUAAAUUUAAUGUUGUAGAGGAUACAUUUGUGUUUGCUAUUUGUCCAUAUUUUUCUGUGGUUUACGUUGUCAUGUGUGUGAUAUAUUCCAAUCCUGCAUCUCCUUGCAGGCUUCUCAGCAAACUGUUUCUGAAAACAACAUCUUAUUUGAACAAGCAAGUAGCAAAUAAAGAAAAUUAAAUUAACAAGACCUGUAAUUUAAACUCCUGCUUAAAAGAAUUGUUAAUUGUAUUAGAAACUCAAACAUUUUCUUAGUGUUGUUAAUAGUUAAAGUUAUAUAAUUGCUAGUGCGGAUGAACCAAAUUGAAUCUUUUUCCCAGUUCUGCUUCUCAUUUACAAAAUUUCUCUCCUUUGUUUUCUUGGUUGUGUAGCAUGCCGGACUCAGAAUACUCUUGCAGAAAGAGCACUGCUUUAAGAAAGAUAACCCUUCAAAAGCCCUCAUUUUUGAGGGAUGUCACUCAUUUUAAUCCCAAAUAUGCUCACACUCCUCACAAACGUAAGGUUUUAAUUUUUAUUGAUGAUAACUAUUCAAAUGAGAAGUAAAUAUUCAAGAAAGGUUAUUAAAACAAAAGCAACUCUCAGUGUUUUCAGCUCUUAUGAUUUUAUCAAAAGGCUGAUGAGAGCUGGUGUUUUUCAGAAAGCCCAAGCUUUUGUAUGAGAAUAAACAUUUUCUUUUGAAGUAAAAGUAAGAUUCAAGGGAAUAAAUUAAAAAUAAGCUGAAAUGGGCCUUGAGUACAUUUGAUAGGAUCAGAAGGAAAAUAAAAGAACCCAAAUAUGUAUUUUUUAGUAGUCCCUUUCAGUUCCUGAUAUCAAAACUUUUGUCAGUUUCUUUCGCUUUUCUGUUCCUCUCUGCCUUACUUACCCGCGGUUACUGCAAAACCCAGUGUAACAGUCCCAGUUGGAAGCAGGCUAUUUUUCCAGCCUCUAGGCAGGAACAGAUUGAGAUAUGGGUCCUGUCGUAACUCAGGCAACCAAGUUAAGAAGAUGACAGGAAAGAAAUACUAUCACCCUAGUUUAUAAAUAGGAAACUGAAGAGAGUAGUGAUUGCCUUGCCCAAGAAAACUGAAAUUUCAAACAAAACCAUGAAGCAAAAUUAGUCUGCUGUUUUAACUGCAAAACUAACUGGGUGUCUUGUUUUUUUUUCCUGUCUGCUGCAGUAACUGCUUUUGCACCAUUGCCUUGCCAGUAUUAGAAGAACACAGUGAACGCCUGAGACAAAAAAUCAUCUCUCAACCUUCCUCUUCAGCUACCAUCCCGUUGUCUUUGUCUCUAGAUCUGUUAUCUUCUCUUUCUUCCUCUAUACAUUCACUGGAUAAACUUAUCUGCUUCUAGUGUUUCAUCUUCCUUCUCUGCAAUUCUGCUUUGUGAUCAAUCUUUCCCUUAGUAUCUUGAUUUCAUCUGUCUUUUCACCAGAUUACCCUCCACUUCUCUAAGCAUUUUCUACAUUUCAUUAAGAAAGCUCCAAACUUUCUGAAAAACUUUUUUUUUGGCCUGGACAAAUUACACAUUCAGAAUCAGAUCUAAGCUACUGUGUCUCAUUGAUGCAAGUACUCAGAUUUUUCUUGCAGUUCUGGGGGCAUAUAUUUGCAGAGUUCAGAGUGAAAAGGCCUCUCACAACUGCACAGCCAUACUAGAAGAGAAACUGCUGGAAAACAUUGUCUUAAAUUUUCAUUAUCCUCAACCACACAAUGGGGUCUGACCAACAUGGACAACAAAGGUAGAAGACAAAAUGAAUAUUCAGCUCACUAACUAAAAUGUGGAGAGGCCUCUCAGUAAAGCAAACACUAGAGACAGCACCCAUAAGGAAUUGAAUAGUGGCUGAAAAUGUGAACAUUCCUGCAUUUUUUCCUAAGGAAUGUAGUGUGCCUCUACUGAUGACUGCAGUAAAUGUGCAGCAUUUCUCACUGCAGAGAGCUCUUCCUGAUUAGCACAGCUCGCUCUACA
Molecule: long non-coding RNA, 2558 nt
Organism: Passer domesticus (house sparrow)
Lineage: Eukaryota; Metazoa; Chordata; Aves; Passeriformes; Passeridae
Exons: 3
Source: RefSeq, a predicted model, not a curated record